AUCUUAUCAAGAGAAGCUGAGGGACUGGCCCGUCGACGCUUCAGCAACCAGCCAUUUAGGCAAGGUGCUACUUCCAGCAGUAUGUGAUGUUGUCAUACUGAAAAGAUGAGAG
This 112-nucleotide non-coding RNA is filed under the name Sporosarcina sp. RNAcentral's name for it is "SAM-I sequence". It matches the Rfam family "SAM riboswitch aptamer (S box leader)". From Rfam's summary of the family: The SAM riboswitch is found upstream of a number of genes which code for proteins involved in methionine or cysteine biosynthesis in Gram-positive bacteria. The SAM riboswitch acts at the level of transcription termination control. Lineage: Bacteria; Bacillati; Bacillota; Bacilli; Caryophanales; Caryophanaceae. The record is from RNAcentral.